Molecule: ribosomal RNA, 498 nt
Filed under: Burkholderia sp.
Lineage: Bacteria; Pseudomonadati; Pseudomonadota; Betaproteobacteria; Burkholderiales; Burkholderiaceae
Description: bacterial SSU rRNA
Rfam family: Bacterial small subunit ribosomal RNA
Source: RNAcentral
GAUAGCCGCGGAUGCUUACACAGGCAGUCGUAACGGCAGCACGGGUGCUUGCACCUGGUGGCGAGUGGCGAACGGGUGAGUAAUACAUCGGAACAUGUCCUGUAGUGGGGGAUAGCCCGGCGAAAGCCGGAUUAAUACCGCAUACGAUCUACGGAUGAAAGCGGGGGACCUUCGGGCCUCGCGCUAUAGGGUUGGCCGAUGGCUGAUUAGCUAGUUGGUGGGGUAAAGGCCUACCAAGGCGACGAUCAGUAGCUGGUCUGAGAGGACGACCAGCCACACUGGGACUGAGACACGGCCCAGACUCCUACGGGAGGCAGCAGUGGGGAAUUUUGGACAAUGGGCGAAAGCCUGAUCCAGCAAUGCCGCGUGUGUGAAGAAGGCCUUCGGGUUGUAAAGCACUUUUGUCCGGAAAGAAAUCCUUGGCUCUAAUACAGUCGGGGGAUGACGGUACCGGAAGAAUAAGCACCGGCUAACUACGUGCCAGCAGCCGCGGUAAUA